AAUAUUUGACAAUGGUGGCAACCCUGAUCCAGCCAUGCCGCGUGUGUGAAGAAGGNCUNNGGAUUNUNAAGCACUUUAAGUUGNNNNNAAGGGCUUUAGGUUAAUACCCUGAAAUUUUGACGUUACCAACAGAAUAAGCACCGGCUACCUCUUUGCUAGCAGCCGCGGUAAUACAGAGGGUGCAAGCGUUAAUCGGAAUUAGUGGCCGUAAAGCGCGCGUAGGUGGUUCAGUAAGAUGGGUUUGAAAUCCCCGGGCUUAACCUGGGAACUGCUUUCAUAACUGCUGAGCUAGAGUACGGUAGAGGGUAGUGGAAUUUCCUGUGUAGCGGUGAAAUGCGUAGAUAUAGGAAGGAACACCAGUGGCGAAGGCGACUACCUGGACUGAUACUGACACUGAGGUGCGAAAGCGUGGGGAGCAAAC
Molecule: ribosomal RNA, 421 nt
Filed under: uncultured bacterium
Lineage: Bacteria
Description: partial 16S ribosomal RNA
Rfam family: Bacterial small subunit ribosomal RNA
Source: RNAcentral